GUCACUGUAGCACAAUAGAUAGCUCGUUGGACUUCUAAUCCAAAGGUGGUGCGUUUCGAAUUCCACCUGGAAUGGCC
This is a non-coding RNA of Trichonephila inaurata madagascariensis, 77 nucleotides long. Lineage: Eukaryota; Metazoa; Arthropoda; Arachnida; Araneae; Nephilidae. The record is from the annotation of a GenBank genome assembly.